RNAcentral lists this ribosomal RNA (1347 nucleotides) under uncultured bacterium. Its description in RNAcentral is "bacterial SSU rRNA". It matches the Rfam family "Bacterial small subunit ribosomal RNA", at positions 28 to 1381 of the family's 1533-position model. The record is from RNAcentral.
GACGAACGCUGGCGGCGUGCUUAACACAUGCAAGUCGAACGAUGAAGCCUAGCUUGCUAGGUGGAUUAGUGGCGAACGGGUGAGUAAUACGUGAGUAACCUACCUUUAACUCUGGGAUAAGCCUGGGAAACUGGGUCUAAUACCGGAUACGACCAAUCUCCGCAUGGGGUGUUGGUGGAAAGCGUUAUGUAGUGGUUAUAGAUGGGCUCACGGCCUAUCAGCUUGUUGGUGAGGUAACGGCUCACCAAGGCGACGACGGGUAGCCGGCCUGAGAGGGUGACCGGCCACACUGGGACUGAGACACGGCCCAGACUCCUACGGGAGGCAGCAGUGGGGAAUAUUGCACAAUGGGCGCAAGCCUGAUGCAGCGACGCCGCGUGGGGGAUGACGGCCUUCGGGUUGUAAACCUCUGUUAGCAGGGAAGAAGAGAGAUUGACGGUACCUGCAGAGAAAGCGCCGGCUAACUACGUGCCAGCAGCCGCGGUAAUACGUAGGGCGCGAGCGUUGUCCGGAAUUAUUGGGCGUAAAGAGCUUGUAGGCGGUUUGUCGCGUCUGCUGUGAAGGCCGGAGCUUAACUCCGUGUAUUGCAGUGGGUACGGGCAGACUAGAGUGCAGUAGGGGAGACUGGAAUUCCUGGUGUAGCGGUGGAAUGCGCAGAUAUCAGGAGGAACACCGAUGGCGAAGGCAGGUCUCUGGGCUGUAACUGACGCUGAGAAGCGAAAGCAUGGGGAGCGAACAGGAUUAGAUACCCUGGUAGUCCAUGCCGUAAACGUUGGGCACUAGGUGUGGGGAACAUUCCACGUUUUCCGCGCCGUAGCUAACGCAUUAAGUGCCCCGCCUGGGGAGUACGGCCGCAAGGCUAAAACUCAAAGAAAUUGACGGGGGCCCGCACAAGCGGCGGAGCAUGCGGAUUAAUUCGAUGCAACGCGAAGAACCUUACCAAGGCUUGACAUAUACUGGACCGCAUCAGAGAUGGUGUUUCCCUUCGGGGCUGGUAUACAGGUGGUGCAUGGUUGUCGUCAGCUCGUGUCGUGAGAUGUUGGGUUAAGUCCCGCAACGAGCGCAACCCUCGUUCUAUGUUGCCAGCACGUUAUGGUGGGGACUCAUAGGAGACUGCCGGGGUCAACUCGGAGGAAGGUGGGGAUGACGUCAAAUCAUCAUGCCCCUUAUGUCUUGGGCUUCACGCAUGCUACAAUGGCCGGUACAGAGGGUUGCGAUACUGUGAGGUGGAGCUAAUCCCUAAAAGCCGGUCUCAGUUCGGAUUGGGGUCUGCAACUCGACCCCAUGAAGUCGGAGUCGCUAGUAAUCGCAGAUCAGCAACGCUGCGGUGAAUACGUUCCCGGGCCU